UCCGGGUAACACCCGAAACGCCGGUAGGGCCAACCUUAGGAGGGGACGCCGUCGAAGGUGGGUACUGGCGAUUGGGACU
RNAcentral lists this ribosomal RNA (79 nucleotides) under uncultured bacterium. RNAcentral's name for it is "partial 16S ribosomal RNA". The record is from RNAcentral.